UACGUAGGUGGCAAGCGUUGUUCGGAAUUAUUGGGCGUAAAGAGCGCGCAGGCGGUCGUGCAAGUCGCGUGUGAAAGCCCCCGGCUCAACUGGGGAGGGUCACGCGAUACUGCUCGACUUGAAGGCAGGAGAGGGAAGUGGAAUUCCCGGUGUAGUGGUGAAAUGCGUAGAUAUGCGGAGGAACACCGAUGGCGAAGGCAGUCCCCUGGGCCUGUACUGACGCUCAUGCACGAAAGCGUGGGGAGCAAACAGG
RNAcentral lists this ribosomal RNA (253 nucleotides) under uncultured bacterium. RNAcentral's name for it is "partial 16S ribosomal RNA". It matches the Rfam family "Bacterial small subunit ribosomal RNA", at positions 524 to 776 of the family's 1533-position model. The record is from RNAcentral.